ACGGAAGGCAGCAGUGGGGAAUAUUGCGCAAUGGGCGGAAGCCUGACGCAGCGACGCCGCGUGGGGGAUGACGGCCUUCGGGUUGUAAACCUCUUUCGGCCCCGACGAAGCGUGAGUGACGGUAGGGGUGGAAGAAGCACCGGCCAACUACGUGCCAGCAGCCGCGGUAACACGUAGGGUGCGAGCGUUGUCCGGAAUUAUUGGGCGUAAAGAGCUCGUAGGCGGUGUGUCGCGUCGGCCGUGAAAACCUGCAGCUUAACUGUGGGCUUGCGGUCGAUACGGGCAUCACUGGAGUUCGGCAGGGGAGACUGGAAUUCCUGGUGUAGCGGUGAAAUGCGCAGAUAUCAGGAGGAACACCGGUGGCGAAGGCGGGUCUCUGGGCCGAUACUGACGCUGAGGAGCGAAAGCGUGGGGAGCGAACAGGAUUAGAUACCCUGGUA
This 440-nucleotide ribosomal RNA is filed under the name uncultured Pseudonocardia sp. Its description in RNAcentral is "bacterial SSU rRNA". It matches the Rfam family "Bacterial small subunit ribosomal RNA", at positions 341 to 792 of the family's 1533-position model. The record is from RNAcentral. Lineage: Bacteria; Bacillati; Actinomycetota; Actinomycetes; Pseudonocardiales; Pseudonocardiaceae.